UGUUUGAUGUUCUAACGUGGACCCGUGAUCCGGGUUGCGGACAGUGUCUGGUGGGUAGUUUGACUGGGGCGGUCUCCUCCUAAAGAGUAACGGAGGAGCACGAAGGUUGGCUAAUCCUGGUCGGACAUCAGGAGGUUAGUGCAAUGGCAUAAGCCAGCUUGACUGCGAGCGUGACGGCGCGAGCAGGUGCGAAAGCAGGUCAUAGUGAUCCGGUGGUUCUGAAUGGAAGGGCCAUCGCUCAACGGAUAAAAGGUACUCCGGGGAUAACAGGCUGAUACCGCCCAAGAGUUCAUAUCGACGGCGGUGUUUGGCACCUCGAUGUCGGCUCAUCACAUCCUGGGGCUGAAGUAGGUCCCAAGGGUAUGGCUGUUCGCCAUUUAAAGUGGUACGCGAGCUGGGUUUAGAACGUCGUGAGACAGUUCGGUCCCUAUCUGCCGUGGGCGCUGGAGAACUGAGGGGGGCUGCUCCUAGUACGAGAGGACCGGAGUGGACGCAUCACUGGUGUUCGGGUUGUCAUGCCAAUGGCACUGCCCGGUAGCUAAAUGCGGAAGAGAUAAGUGCUGAAAGCAUCUAAGCACGAAACUUGCCCCGAGAUGAGUUCUCCCUGAGACUUUAGGUCUCCUGAAGGAACGUUGAAGACGACGACGUUGAUAGGCCGGGUGUGUAAGCGC
This 671-nucleotide ribosomal RNA is filed under the name Salmonella enterica subsp. enterica serovar Panama. RNAcentral describes it as "partial 23S ribosomal RNA". It matches the Rfam family "Bacterial large subunit ribosomal RNA", at positions 2211 to 2876 of the family's 2925-position model. The record is from RNAcentral. Lineage: Bacteria; Pseudomonadati; Pseudomonadota; Gammaproteobacteria; Enterobacterales; Enterobacteriaceae.